UGGGGAAUUUUGGACAAUGGGCGAAAGCCUGAUCCAGCAAUGCCGCGUGUGUGAAGAAGGCCUUCGGGUUGUAAAGCACUUUUGUCCGGAAAGAAAUCCUUGGCUCUAAUACAGUCGGGGGAUGACGGUACCGGAAGAAUAAGCACCGGCUAACUACGUGCCAGCAGCCGCGGUAAUACGUAGGGUGCAAGCGUUAAUCGGAAUUACUGGACGUAAAGCGUGCGCAGGCGGUUUGCUAAGACCGAUGUGAAAUCCCCGGGCUCAACCUGGGAACUGCAUUGGUGACUGGCAGGCUAGAGUAUGGCAGAGGGGGGUAGAAUUCCACGUGUAGCAGUGAAAUGCGUAGAGAUGUGGAGGAAUACCGAUGGCGAAGGCAGCCCCCUGGGCCAAUACUGACGCUCAUGCACGAAAGCGUGGGGAGCAAACAGGAUUAGAUACCCUGGUAGUCCACGCCCUAAACGAUGUCAACUAGUUGUUGGGGAUUCAUUUCCUUAGUAACGUAGCUAACGCGUGAAGUUGACCGCCUGGGGAGUACGGUCGCAAGAUUAAAACUCAAAGGAAUUGACGGGGUCAUAGCUGUUUCCU
Molecule: ribosomal RNA, 585 nt
Filed under: uncultured bacterium
Lineage: Bacteria
Description: partial 16S ribosomal RNA
Rfam family: Bacterial small subunit ribosomal RNA
Source: RNAcentral